ACAUGAAGCUUCAUGUUGGAGCUGAAGAGCUGCUGUGUUCUCUCUGUUCUUCAUUCAGUACCAGUGAAAAGAAUGUUGCUGCUUCUCAUCUGGAUGAUGAUGGUCUCCUUUCAAACUGGAUCCUCUGAGGAUUUACUGAAACCAUUGAAAGAUGAACUGAUGGCUUUGGAAGGAGACACUGUCACUAUCUCCUGCAAAUAUUCUGGUUCUAUACAGUUUUUCUACUGGUACCAACAGAAGUCCAGUUCAUCUCCACAGUUUCUGAUUAAAGAAUAUUCAGAUGAAACAGAGAAGUUCUCAGUGAAACACGACAAACAGAAACAGGAGUUUCAUCUGCAGAUCUCCUCUGCUGCAGUGACAGACUCUGCUGUGUACUACUGUGCUGUGGAGCCCACAGUGACAGGAAACAACUAAACUUUGUACAAAAUCCUGCAGAGAAAACACAAUACUACACAACAUCCACUAGAGGGCGUCACACACUGUGAAGGGACUGCAGAUUCUGUGAUUUGACAGAUGUAAAUUAAAAGAGAAAUGAAGCACUAAAGAUCAGAGACAGAGCUGUUGUGGAAGCACUAAACUGUUUGAUUGAUUGAGCUGAAAUGAAAAAGAGCUCAUUGGCUCCGCCCACUGAACUUCAGAUCAGCCAUUCACAUUAUUUCUUCUUCAUUGUGCUGCAGUGGAAGAACAGAGUUCAUCUGCUGUCUGUGUGGCUUCAAGAACUCCAAAGACAUGUUGCUUUACCUCUUUUUGCUUCUGUAUCACAUUCUAGGACUCACAGCUGGAGACUCAAUCUCUCCUGAUCAAGAUCAACUUACAGGAACUGAAGGAAAAUCUGUUACAAUGAAAUGUAACUAUCAGACAGCCGACAGCGGUCCUUGGCUUUAUUGGUACAAACAUGAUUCUGAUCUUCAGGCUCCUCAGUUUAUUCUUAGGAAAGGAGGAAAAAGUUCCACAAGUGAACUUAUUCCAGAUAAACGAUAUGAAUCUAGAACAACAGACACAUCAACUGAACUGAUCAUCAGAAAGUUAACCCUGGCAGACACAGCUCUCUACUACUGUGCUAUAGACACACAGUGAUCCAAAGUGUAGAAGAGGCUGUACAAAAACCUGAAGACAGAUAUGGGACUACUCUUCAAAGAGGAGGGAAGUGGUUUUCAAAGCACAGCUUCAUAUCAGAUGGAUUCUGUUCAUUCCUGUUUGAUCAGAGUCUCUGUGGUUACAGCUGCUAAUGAAACACUGUGGGAGGAUUCACAUGAGCAGAUGAUCCACAUCAACCAAGAAACAUCUACAUGAAGGUAUUAAGACUCACAGUUCAUCAUUACAGACUUUGAUGUCUGUGAUGAAGAAGAAAGCCGGUAAAUAGUGAAAUGACCUAGAAGAUCCUGUAUCAUGCUACUUUAAGCAUUUC
Non-coding RNA from Oryzias latipes (Japanese medaka), 1408 nucleotides. NCBI's taxonomy places the organism in Eukaryota, Metazoa, Chordata, Actinopteri, Beloniformes, Adrianichthyidae. The record is from RefSeq and is a predicted model, not a curated record.